Molecule: ribosomal RNA, 253 nt
Filed under: uncultured bacterium
Lineage: Bacteria
Description: partial 16S ribosomal RNA
Rfam family: Bacterial small subunit ribosomal RNA
Source: RNAcentral
GACGUAGGGCGCGAGCGUUGUCCGGAUUUAUUGGGCGUAAAGAGCUCGUAGGCGGCUUGUCGCGUCGGCUGUGAAAACCCGCGGCUCAACUGUGGGCGGGCAGCUGAUACGGGCAGGCUGGAGUUCGGUAGGGGAGACUGGAAUUCCUGGUGUAGCGGUGAAAUGCGCAGAUAUCGGGAGGAACACCAGUGGCGAAGGCGGUUGCCUGGAGCUUUGCUGACGCUGAUGCGCGAAAGCGUGGGGAGCGAUCCGG